Oryza brachyantha (malo sina) is the source of this 192-nucleotide non-coding RNA. The record is from Rfam. Lineage: Eukaryota; Viridiplantae; Streptophyta; Magnoliopsida; Poales; Poaceae.
AAUAAUCUUAUUUUUCAUUUUCCGUGUCUAACGUUUGAUCAUUCAUCUUAUUUGAAAUUUUUUUAUUAUUAAUAUUUUUAUUGUUACUAGAUGAUAAAAUAUGAAUAUGACUUUAUACGUGACUAAUUUUUUUAAAUUUUUAUAUAAAUUUUUCAAAUAAAAUAAAUGGUCAAAUAUUAGACAUGGAAAAAC